RNAcentral lists this unclassified non-coding RNA (1088 nucleotides) under Schizosaccharomyces pombe (fission yeast). Its description in RNAcentral is "non-coding RNA (predicted)". The record is from RNAcentral. Lineage: Eukaryota; Fungi; Ascomycota; Schizosaccharomycetes; Schizosaccharomycetales; Schizosaccharomycetaceae.
GGUCGUACAUAAACGAUAUCUGAAAUGUCUGUUCCUUUUGAAAUAAUUUACUGUUUUUAUGUUUUGAUUUUCACAACAGAAUGAUGCGUAUGACAAAACAACACCUGGUUGCAUAGUCAAGUUGAAGUGUAAAUAAAGCUCAACUUUUUUAGAACUUAUUCGGUAUUAUCAAUUUUCGUUUCUUUUAUUCGCUCUAUAGUGUAUUGCUUCGUCUUAAGAUUGAACCUUUCCAAUUACCGAGUUCAUCACCUCUACAUUUAUUGUAAAAAAGUAAUUGUACUGCAAUCUCUGACAAGCCAUCAUGACAUACUGACCUUUCAAUUACAUCCAAAAUUCCCUUUAGCUUGUCUUUGUUUGCUUCUUAAUGGAUGAUUUGAUCUACAAAAGAAAACGAAUCAUUAUUGGUAAAUUAAAUAAACAUCAGCAGCAUUCACGGAGCAAUUAAGAUACACACUGCCAACGUCAAUUACAAUAGAUUAAUGUCAAUUGCCUUUCUUUAGAGUCUUUUUUUGUUUGCCAGUUAUGAACAGUAGCUCACGGAUUAGAAAGUUCAAAAAUCAAUUAUUACGCUUUCUCUUGAUGUAUCUUAAUUCUUCUGAGAGAUUGCUUUUAGUCCAGUAAAGACAUUUACAUCACUGUAGUAAAACAAGUCAAAUCACUUAAAAAACUAGUAUCUGUCCUCUUCUUCGAUAUUUUUACCUGGUCGACGGCUGCUUAGUGCUAGACCGUGUUAAAACCGAUUGUCUCAUUUUCGAUUAAACAUAGUCUGGUAUUAUAGAUCAGUUGAUUAAAACAUUUGUUAGCUUUCAAAGUAGAUCGUUGAAUUGAAGGAUUUUACUCAACACCAAAAAUCAUACACCAAAUUUUUUUAUCCUCCUUUAGACAAUGCUAUUACCACAAAAGAACGGGAUGAAUGGGAUCAUUUGCUUCUAGACACUAAAUUUAAGUAGCCGAUAAAAGACGGCUUAACAUCCGAGCUUUCGGAUGUUCAUUUUCACACGAUGAUUUUGGGUUAUCUAUUUAUACCCAAUUUGUAUAUCUGACAUGUGCUUGUUUAUCGGUUGGAAAUAUCUGUCUUUACAGAUAAU